RNAcentral lists this ribosomal RNA (1536 nucleotides) under Salmonella enterica subsp. enterica serovar Adelaide. RNAcentral describes it as "partial 23S ribosomal RNA". It matches the Rfam family "Bacterial large subunit ribosomal RNA", at positions 161 to 1735 of the family's 2925-position model. Lineage: Bacteria; Pseudomonadati; Pseudomonadota; Gammaproteobacteria; Enterobacterales; Enterobacteriaceae. RNAcentral also lists the same sequence under 1 other name. The record is from RNAcentral.
AAUCCAUAGGUUAAUGAGGCGAACCGGGGGAACUGAAACAUCUAAGUACCCCGAGGAAAAGAAAUCAACCGAGAUUCCCCCAGUAGCGGCGAGCGAACGGGGAGGAGCCCAGAGCCUGAAUCAGCAUGUGUGUUAGUGGAAGCGUCUGGAAAGGCGCGCGAUACAGGGUGACAGCCCCGUACACAAAAGCGCAUGUGCUGUGAGCUCGAUGAGUAGGGCGGGACACGUGGUAUCCUGUCUGAAUAUGGGGGGACCAUCCUCCAAGGCUAAAUACUCCUGACUGACCGAUAGUGAACCAGUACCGUGAGGGAAAGGCGAAAAGAACCCCGGCGAGGGGAGUGAAAAAGAACCUGAAACCGUGUACGUACAAGCAGUGGGAGCACAGGUUUACCUGUGUGACUGCGUACCUUUUGUAUAAUGGGUCAGCGACUUAUAUUCUGUAGCAAGGUUAACCGAAUAGGGGAGCCGGAGGGAAACCGAGUCUUAAUUGGGCGUUAAGUUGCAGGGUAUAGACCCGAAACCCGGUGAUCUAGCCAUGGGCAGGUUGAAGGUUGGGUAACACUAACUGGAGGACCGAACCGACUAAUGUUGAAAAAUUAGCGGAUGACCUGUGGCUGGGGGUGAAAGGCCAAUCAAACCGGGAGAUAGCUGGUUCUCCCCGAAAGCUAUUUAGGUAGCGCCUCGUGAAUUCAUCUCCGGGGGUAGAGCACUGUUUCGGCUAGGGGGCCAUCCCGGCUUACCAACCCGAUGCAAACUGCGAAUACCGGAGAAUGUUAUCACGGGAGACACACGGCGGGUGCUAACGUCCGUCGUGAAGAGGGAAACAACCCAGACCGCCAGCUAAGGUCCCAAAGUCAUGGUUAAGUGGGAAACGAUGUGGGAAGGCCCAGACAGCCAGGAUGUUGGCUUAGAAGCAGCCAUCAUUUAAAGAAAGCGUAAUAGCUCACUGGUCGAGUCGGCCUGCGCGGAAGAUGUAACGGGGCUAAACCAUGCACCGAAGCUGCGGCAGCGACACUGUGUGUUGUUGGGUAGGGGAGCGUUCUGUAAGCCUGUGAAGGUGGCCUGUGAGGGUUGCUGGAGGUAUCAGAAGUGCGAAUGCUGACAUAAGUAACGAUAAAGCGGGUGAAAAGCCCGCUCGCCGGAAGACCAAGGGUUCCUGUCCAACGUUAAUCGGGGCAGGGUGAGUCGACCCCUAAGGCGAGGCCGAAAGGCGUAGUCGAUGGGAAACGGGUUAAUAUUCCCGUACUUGGUGUUACUGCGAAGGGGGGACGGAGAAGGCUAUGUUGGCCGGGCGACGGUUGUCCCGGUUUAAGCGUGUAGGUGUGUGUUCCAGGUAAAUCCGGUUCACUUUAACACUGAGGCGUGAUGACGAGGCACUACGGUGCUGAAGCAACAAAUGCCCUGCUUCCAGGAAAAGCCUCUAAGCAUCAGGUAACAUCAAAUCGUACCCCAAACCGACACAGGUGGUCAGGUAGAGAAUACCAAGGCGCUUGAGAGAACUCGGGUGAAGGAACUAGGCAAAAUGGUGCCGUAACU